Molecule: long non-coding RNA, 936 nt
Organism: Mobula hypostoma (lesser devil ray)
Lineage: Eukaryota; Metazoa; Chordata; Chondrichthyes; Myliobatiformes; Myliobatidae
Exons: 4
Source: RefSeq, a predicted model, not a curated record
AAGACACUGAGCUCCUGUUUCAAGAGGCGUGGCCUCAAGUUCUCCCUGCAAGUGUCUUCCAAGAUGGUAUCCUCAUCUCAACUAUUUUCAGCCCCUUCAUCAGAAGUAGCCAGCUGGUGGUGUAGUGGCAUCCGCACUGGACUUCGGAGCAAGAGUUCUCAGUGCCCCUUCAUCUCCUAUUGAGCCAUCCACCCAUCCAAGCUACACACAUCAAAGUUGCUGGUGAACGCAGCAGGCCAGGCAGCAUCUCUAGGAAGAGGGUGUUCAACGGUCUUCUUCUUUAUGGGUUCUUUUGGGUUCCUUUGCUUCAUGGCUACCUGCUGGGAGACAAAUCCCAAGGUUGUACAGUCGGCCCUCCAUAUCCGCGGAUCGGGAUCGGAAAAAAAACCCAGAAGUUCUCUCUCCAGCACUCGUCGUUUGAGCACAGUUCCUGACAUUAGUAUUAUUGAGCCCCCUCCAAAGGUUCCUUGUUCCCUAAACAGUACAUUGUAACAACUAUUUACAUAACAUUUCCAUUGUAUUAGGUAUUAUAAUUACUGUAAUCUAGAGAUGAUUAGAAGUAUUACUCGUUUGAACAUUGUUUGCCUUGCGUCUCUUUCAUUCGCUACUUGUGUUGUGAGCGAGAGGGAGGAGUUUACAGCUAGUAAGGGAUGGCUGGCUAGCUAUGUAAAGCGCUACAGCCUCAAGAACUUAAAGAUCACGGGAGAAUCGGCAUUGGUUGAUGCCGAGGCAGCAUCAGCGUUCCCAGAAGAGCUAUGAUGGUUGCAUCCGUACUGAACAUGUACGGACUUUUUUUCCUUGUCAUUAUUCCCUAAACAAUACAGUAUAACAACUAUUUACAUAGCAUUUACAUUGUAUUAGGUACGAUAAGUAAUCUAGAGAUGAUUUAAAGUAUACGGGAGGAUGUGUGUAGGUUAUAUGCAAAUACUACGCCAU